AGCUGGUAAAGCAGGGGACGUCUAGCGAAACUGCCACCGUAAGGUGAGAGGAACGUGGGGAUGACGUCAAAUCAGCACGGCCCUUAUGUCCAGGGCUACACACGUGUUACAAUGGCCGGCACAGAGGGCAGCUACCUGGUGGACAGGAUGCUAAUCUCGAAAAACCGGUCUCAGUUCGGAUCGAAGUCUGCAACCCGACUUCGUGAAGCUGGAUUCGCUAGUAAUCGCGCAUCAGCCAUGGCGCGGUGAAUACGUUCCCGGGCCUU
This 266-nucleotide ribosomal RNA is filed under the name uncultured Sphingobacteriales bacterium. RNAcentral describes it as "partial 16S ribosomal RNA". It matches the Rfam family "Bacterial small subunit ribosomal RNA", at positions 1120 to 1382 of the family's 1533-position model. Lineage: Bacteria; Pseudomonadati; Bacteroidota; Sphingobacteriia; Sphingobacteriales. The record is from RNAcentral.